GGCGAGGCGGCGUCCCCCAGCGGCCGCCCGCCCCAGCGCGCCAGCCCCGGCGUGGGUGGGCGUGCGCGGCGCGCGUGCCUGCCGCCGCCGCCGCUAGCGCCCUGGCCCAGCCGGCGAGCCCCGGCGUGCGCGGGCCGGGCGCACGGAGCGGGAAAUGCGGCCGCAUCCCGGAGGUGCCGGCCGGGGACCUCCGCCCUCCCCGGCGGAAGCCCGAGGGGGUCUCGGUUUCCUCAAGCGGCAGCUGAGGCCAACCUCUGCGCGCAGGACCGCGAAGCCGGGCAGCCGCGUCGGCUCCUGCGGGGUGUUGUCUUUCGUUAGUUACUCCCGAGCUUUCCCGCUUCCCCGCUUCCCAGCCCCGUGAAUACCGCCUGCACUUCUCAGAAGAGCAGCCUGACGGUGGCUCCGGCACGCGCUGCAGUCCUGCGUUUGCGCCGCUAGGGGGAGAGCCCCUCGGGUUUGGGCCCGAGCGAAGCUUGGCCGCGUUUGCAGCCCUCGAGGGACACUGCCCAGUCCUGAGGGCCAGGCGAAAAGCCUCCAGCUUAUGAUGCCGGGAACGGACCGCCUGGGUUUCCACCCCCUCCCCCCCGCUUCUCAAUUCUGUAAAUAUCUAUUCUGCAUGUGUUCCAGACCUGGCCGUCGUCCUCCCAGAACUCACAGCCCCCGGAGCAAACAGCACUCCUUAUAAAAAUGAAUGAGUGAAUAAAUAGCUACAGGAAAACCACAGUAGCAGGGCUAUGACCCAGAAGGAUAAUAGGAGAGAAGGUGAACAGGCAGCCAGCUGGUUCAGCACAUCAAGUCGCAGAACGGAAGACCACCAAGAAAGAACCGGUCCAAUUCUGUUCACGGAAUGAUGGAAAAAAUAGGACACUGUUAUGAAGUCAAGCUCCUUCAUGAAGUACUUUGCUGAAUUUCAAAGCAAAAAAAGUACCAUUCAUUUUUUUUCUGCAACUGGCUGGAUUUUUAAACUAUAUCCAUCACUCACUGUAAUCACAGGAAAUCAGCUCAAAAACUUAUUCUUGCGUUUUUUUCCCCCCCUGAGGCCACAAUACCUAUAAAAUGAAAUGCUGAUGUAUUAAUACCAUGUUUUAGCGGUUUCUAACAUACAGUCAAAAUCACUCAAUGCUUCCCAGAGUUACUGCACAAGAAAUACACCAACAAUUAAACAGAGUGUUAAGUAUUUGAUCUGCAAGAGACCUUACAAGGUUAGAUCAAUUUACUUUCCAAAGCUGGUUGUUUUUGCAGAAAAUGUACUCAUGAUCCUAUGUCUUUAUGUCAGCCUUACUGAUACAAAUUAAGACUUACUAGAACACACACCCACAAAUGGACUUUUUUUUAAAGAAUAAAGGUUUCCUUUUUAUUCCUUUAGCACAAAACUUCUCUGAUCAUCUUACUAGAAUAACUUUCAAAAGUGAUUGCUGUGAAUAUCAUUGAAGUCACAUUUAUGGAGCGAAUUUCCCAAAAACCAGACCAUGCAAAAAUCGAAAACAGCUUGAAAAGAAUCAUAAAAAAAUUACCUAGCUCAAAUCUUUUAUUUCACAGAUAUAGAAACUAAAACUGUUGUGAAGUUAACAGUGUUUGCCUCUAAAGUCAACUGCUAGUUAAUUAAUGAAAAAGGACCAAGAUCCAUGUAUGUUAAGACCAGGUUCUUUCUCCUGAACUGAACUUCCCUAUAAAAUAUACAAUAAAUUAUAUAUGUGUGUGUGUACAUGUCUAUGUACGUGUGUAUGUUUGUACACUGUGCUAGUAACAAUCUUUUCUGGUUGAAGGAUUUGCAAGUCCUCUGUGAUAAUGAUGAACUGAGAGCACGAGGGAAAACGGUACUCCCACUUCUCUAUUACCUUCAUUUCUUUUUCACUCAAUUUAAUUAUUUUCAGUGCCAGGCUGAUUAUGUGCCAGGCACUAGAGUACUCGAUGGUAGGGAAAGAAAGGGGGGGAAAAAAAAAGACGUGGUCCCUAUCCAUAAGAAAGCUCUCAGUUGUGAGUUUAUAGCUCCUUCCUAGAAGUCUCCCUUACGGAUUCCUCAUCACGCAGUCUAGGACAGCAGUGCC
Neofelis nebulosa (Clouded leopard) is the source of this 2048-nucleotide long non-coding RNA. RefSeq lists it as uncharacterized. Lineage: Eukaryota; Metazoa; Chordata; Mammalia; Carnivora; Felidae. The record is from RefSeq and is a predicted model, not a curated record. The transcript has 5 exons.